This 429-nucleotide ribosomal RNA is filed under the name Chloroflexota bacterium. RNAcentral's name for it is "Chloroflexi bacterium partial 16S ribosomal RNA". It matches the Rfam family "Bacterial small subunit ribosomal RNA", at positions 355 to 776 of the family's 1533-position model. Lineage: Bacteria; Bacillati; Chloroflexota. The record is from RNAcentral.
UAGGGAAUCUUCGGCAAUGGACGAAAGUCUGACCGAGCAACGCCGCGUGAGUGAAGAAGGUUUUCGGAUCGUAAAACUCUGUUGUUAGAGAAGAACAAGGACGUUAGUAACUGAACGUCCCCUGACGGUAUCUAACCAGAAAGCCACGGCUAACUACGUGCCAGCAGCCGCGGUAAUACGUAGGUGGCAAGCGUUGUCCGGAUUUAUUGGGCGUAAAGCGAGCGCAGGCGGUUUCUUAAGUCUGAUGUGAAAGCCCCCGGCUCAACCGGGGAGGGUCAUUGGAAACUGGGAUACUUGAGUGCUGAAGAGGAGAGUGGAAUUCCAUGUGUAGCGGUGAAAUGCGUAGAUAUAUGGAGGAACACCAGUGGCGAAGGCGGCUCUCUGGUCUGUAACUGACGCUGAGGCUCGAAAGCGUGGGGAGCAAACAGG